UACAGGGGGCUCGAGCGUUAGUCGGAAUCACUGGGCUUAAAGGGUGCGUAGGUGGCUCGCCAAGUGCUUUGUGAAAUCCCACAGCUCAACUGUGGAACAGCAGGGCAAACUGGCGGGCUUGAGGCAGGUAGGGGCCGGAAGAACAGUUGGUGGAGCGGUGAAAUGCGUAGAUAUCAACUGGAAUGCCGAUGGGGAAGCCGUCCGGCUGGGCCUGUCCUGACACUGAGGCACGAAAGCGUGGGGAGCAAACAGG
RNAcentral lists this ribosomal RNA (253 nucleotides) under uncultured bacterium. RNAcentral's name for it is "partial 16S ribosomal RNA". It matches the Rfam family "Bacterial small subunit ribosomal RNA", at positions 524 to 776 of the family's 1533-position model. The record is from RNAcentral.